This 252-nucleotide ribosomal RNA is filed under the name uncultured bacterium. Its description in RNAcentral is "partial 16S ribosomal RNA". It matches the Rfam family "Bacterial small subunit ribosomal RNA", at positions 524 to 776 of the family's 1533-position model. The record is from RNAcentral.
UACGGAGGAUGCGAGCGUUAUCCGGAUUUAUUGGGUUUAAAGGGUGCGCAGGCGGCACGGCAAGCCGGCGGUCAAAUCGCGGGGCUCAACCCCGCCCAGCCGUCGGAACUGCCGGGCUAGAGUGGGCGAGAAGUGCGCGGAAUGCGUGGUGUAGCGGUGAAAUGCAUAGAUAUCACGCAGAACUCCGAUUGCGAAGGCAGCUCACUAGACUGCAACUGACACUGAUGCUCGAAAGUGUGGGUAUCAAACAGG